CCUUCUGUUGGUGCUGAUAUGAGCGGCCCGUACCCCAAACCGACACAGGUGGUCAGGUAGAGAAUACCGAGGCGAUCGGGCGAACUGUGGUUAAGGAACUCGGCAAAUUACCCCCGUAACUUCGGGAGAAGGGGGGCCACAGACUGUCAUACCCCACGCGGGUGGCAGCAGUAGGUGGCCGCAGAGACCAGGGGGAAGCGACUGUUUACUAAAAACACAGGUCCGUGCGAAGUCGUAAGACGAUGUAUACGGACUGACGCCUGCCCGGUGCUGGAACGUUAAGGGGACCGGUUAGUCCGCAAGGGCGAAGCUGAGAACUUAAGCGCCAGUAAACGGCGGUGGUAACUAUAACCAUCCUAAGGUAGCGAAAUUCCUUGUCGGGUAAGUUCCGACCUGCACGAAUGGCGUAACGACUUCCCUACUGUCUCAACCACAGGCCCGGCGAAAUUGCACUACGAGUAAAGAUGCUCGUUACGCGCGGAAGGACGGAAAGACCCCGGGACCUUCACUAUAGCUUGACAUUGGUAUCCGAAUUUAAUUGUGUAGGAUAGGUGGGAGGCUUUGAUCCGCGGACGCCAGUCCGUCGGGGAGCCAACGUUGAAAUACCACUCUGUUGAAUUUGGGUAUCUAACUUCGGACCGUGAUCCGGUUCAGGGACAGUGUCUGGUGGGUAGUUUAACUGGGGCGGUUGCCUCCUAAAAUGUAACGGAGGCGCCCAAAGGUUCCCCCAGCCUGGUUGGCAAUCAGGUGUUGAGUGCAAGUGCACAAGGGAGCUUGACUGUGAGACUGACAGGUCGAGCAGGGACGAAAGUCGGGACUAGUGAUCCGGCACCUGCGAGUGGAAGCGGUGUCGCUCAACGGAUAAAAGGUACCCCGGGGAUAACAGGCUGAUCUUCCCCAAGAGUCCAUAUCGACGGGAUGGUUUGGCACCUCGAUGUCGGCUCGUCGCAUCCUGGGGCUGGAGUAGGUCCCAAGGGUUGGGCUGUUCGCCCAUUAAAGCGGCACGCGAGCUGGGUUUAGAACGUCGUGAGACAGUUCGGUCCCUAUCCUCCGCGCGCGUAGGAGACUUGAGAAGAGCUGUCCCUAGUACGAGAGGACCGGGACGGACGAACCUCUGGUGUGCCAGUUGUCAUGCCAAUGGCACGGCUGGUUAGCUACGUUCGGAAGGGAUAACCGCUGAAAGCAUCUAAGCGGGAAGCUCGCUUCAAGAUGAGGUCUCCCACCCCUUGAGGGUUAAGGCCCCCAGCUAGACCACUGGGUUGAUAGGCCAGAAGUGUAAGCCUGGUAACAGGUUCAGCCGACUGGUACUAAUAGGCCGAGGACUUCA
RNAcentral lists this ribosomal RNA (1327 nucleotides) under metagenome. RNAcentral's name for it is "bacterial LSU rRNA". It matches the Rfam family "Bacterial large subunit ribosomal RNA", at positions 1617 to 2925 of the family's 2925-position model. The record is from RNAcentral.